GACGAACGCUGGCGGCGUGCUUAACACAUGCAAGUCGAACGGAAAGGCCCUGCUUUUGUGGGGUGCUCGAGUGGCGAACGGGUGAGUAACACGUGAGUAACCUGCCCUUGACUUUGGGAUAACUUCAGGAAACUGGGGCUAAUACCGGAUAGGAGCUCCUGCUGCAUGGUGGGGGUUGGAAAGUUUCGGCGGUUGGGGAUGGACUCGCGGCUUAUCAGCUUGUUGGUGGGGUAGUGGCUUACCAAGGCUUUGACGGGUAGCCGGCCUGAGAGGGUGACCGGCCACAUUGGGACUGAGGUACGGACCAGACUCCUACGGGAGGCAGCAGUGGGGAAUAUUGCACAAUGGGCGGAAGCCUGAUGCAGAAACGCCGCGUGCGGGAUGACGGCCUUCGGGUUGUAAACCGCUUUCGCCUGUGACGAAGCGUGAGUGACGGUAAUGGGUAAAGAAGCACCGGCUAACUACGUG
Molecule: ribosomal RNA, 468 nt
Filed under: uncultured bacterium
Lineage: Bacteria
Description: partial 16S ribosomal RNA
Rfam family: Bacterial small subunit ribosomal RNA
Source: RNAcentral